Molecule: long non-coding RNA, 333 nt
Filed under: Hordeum vulgare
Lineage: Eukaryota; Viridiplantae; Streptophyta; Magnoliopsida; Poales; Poaceae
Description: long non-coding RNA (HVUL_LNC021177)
Source: RNAcentral
AAUUGGAGCAUUUUAUAAAUGUCUUUUAUAUGACGUUGCCCAGAAUUUGUGGCUUAAAAUUUAUUUGGAUUUAUCUUACUUGCAUUACUACUAACACUAGUAAAAAACAGGGUUGUAGUCCCGGAUGGUAAGGGCUUUUAGUCCCGAGUCACCAAUGAGGACAAAUAACUCCCCCUGGUCCCGGUUGGCCACGACCUGGGACUAAUGCCCUUCCAUGUGGCUGACAUCACGCGUCGGGAGGUGUGGACCUAUAGUCCCAGUUGGUUACACGAACCGGGACUAAAUGCUUUGGGGUUUUGGGGUUUUGGGGCUCUCGAGUUUAGGGAUUUAUUG